GCUGCCUUAGCUCAGUGGUAGAGCACUUCCUUGGUAAGGAAGAGGUCUUGGGUUCAAAUCCCAAAGGCAGCACCA
This 75-nucleotide transfer RNA is filed under the name Planctomycetota bacterium. Its description in RNAcentral is "Planctomycetes bacterium (activated sludge metagenome) tRNA-Thr". It matches the Rfam family "tRNA". From Rfam's summary of the family: Transfer RNA (tRNA) molecules are approximately 80 nucleotides in length. Their secondary structure includes four short double-helical elements and three loops (D, anti-codon, and T loops). Lineage: Bacteria; Pseudomonadati; Planctomycetota. The record is from RNAcentral.